CCCCCGCUUUUAAUCACUUUGUUUGUGUAGGUUCCGUAGCUCUGUCCAGGGAAUUCGAGACUUGCUAAAUAGGAGAGGGUCACCUUCUCUUCUCUUACCUGUGCUUUGAGGUAGGUGCCAUCUGUGCGCGUAGUCUUUCCUAUACCCCCUCGUGAAAAGGUCCAGAAUGCAAGACUGCGCUACUCCGCUGCUACCUUUCCACUCCCAUCCUCUUGUUGUCAGCAGUUGUUCAAGCAGGAAGACCUGAUGGUAUGCGGCUGUCUCCAGGUCCUGUUCUGAAUGAGUCCUGUUGUCUCACCGUCCUGUCUAUCCAUUGUUUAUCUUGGAAGCUGCUUGAGCCAGAGUUAUUUUGUAGCAGAGAGGAGGACAGUUGGCCCACUGCCCAGCUUCUCGGGGCAGCAGCAGAAUAUGCAGAUCCCCCUGGGUCUUCAACAUCUCGGGGAAGCCGCCUUUUCUCAGACACAACGGCUGAGGGGGCAGCCACGUUCUGUCUGAAGCCUUGGAGACACUCAAGCUGCCACUUUCCCCCAAAUACCGUCCGCUGUGGAAGCAUCUGCUCCCGCGGGUGGAGAGAAAGCAGGCCCCUUCCAUUGUGCUCUGCAGACGUGGCCUCAUCAGGUUCAUCCUCAAGUCUCUCGUUUUGCAGUAGAAGCUGCUCCAGUCCCUGCUGCGUUUGGCUGAGUGAGCAGUUCACUUUCUCUUUGCGUGGUGGAUGUGAGGGGUCUCUGCUUGAGUCCGUAUCGUGGUUUGUUUUAAUGGCGUACAAAAUGAGGGAUGGCGAAAGCGAAUGUUUCGCAUUUCAUUGUUGAUCUUGCUAAUGGAAAAAGUCAUUAUUGAACCAAAUUGGUAAAAGGCAUAGGUUUCCUUAAGUCCCAGGUAAUUCACACUGACUUGCUAAUUCAGAUGCUGCUUUUUAUGGUUGCCUGUCCUUAUCUUUUAUUUCAUUUUAGUGGCCGUAAGUCGCUCACAUACAGACGGCCCCGUACGUGCACAUUGCCAACUAAUUUUCAGAUAAAGCUGCCUAGGAGAAACAAAUGACUUCUGGGGAGACAUCAGAAUUGAAGGCCUUAUUUGAUGAGGUAACAAAACAUAGGGAUUUUAUGAAACUUCCUUAAUAGGGAGAAAAGGUUGGAUACAUGAUGAAAGAGAAGUUGUUUCUUGUCUGACCUUACUUUGUGAGUCAAAAUCCCAGGCUACCUAUUUCUUAAUUGUGCCUCUUUCCCAACUAGGGGUUUGAGGGGAGAAAUCCCGAGAAAAAGACCAUAGAUGGAUAAGUGCUGUGCUGCUGAUUGUCACCUCAGGAAUGAAAUAGGCAUAAAAAAGGGUCGAAAGACUCGUCCUCCUCUGCUGUUGACACCUGGGACAGAUGGGCCUCUUGUGUCUGUUCCUGAAAUCCUGUUGACGGGCUGAAAGAGCUCCUUGCUGGUGGAGGUUGACAUCUGAUAACGAUUUCCAUGUCAUUGUUGCUAUUCUUUUCUCAUACUAUUCUCUGAAGGAAGUCAACUUCCUCUGGUAAUACAAGCGUAUGAGUUGACUCUCAAUUGUAACAGGAGCAGUAAGGUAUGCUGAGAAUGAGUGUGGGUGUGUGUGCACUUCGGUCUGAAACUCAGUGUUCAAGUGUGGCACCUAAUGAUUUUGUAAUUCAAGAAAAGCCCGUUUGAAAAAAUACUUGGCAAUUAUCUGUUAAAACACUUGACUUAAUCCUCUGUAUGUUAGGGGUGCCUGGGUAGCUCAGUCAGGUAAACGUCCGACUCAGUUUUGGCUCAGGUCAUGAUCUCAUCAUUUGUGGGUUCAAGCCCUUGCGUCGGAUUCUGUGGUGACAGCUUGGAGCGUGAAACCUGUGUCCCUUCAGGGGCUUCAGAUUCUGUGUCCCUUCCCUGGUGAGACACACACAUUCUCUCUCAAAAAUAAAUGAAGAAACAUUAAUUUUUUUUUUUUUUUAAAACAAUGUUUGGUUAGGGGAUUCCCCCCCUCCUUUUCUCAGAUGUUUUGGUUCUCUUUUGAUGAUAUGCUACACACCGAAGUUUGUGCAUUUCUUUAAGGUAUUUUCUGAGUAUUUUCAGGAGCCAACUUAAGAUGAUUGCUUACUUAUAUUUCUAAUUUCUAACAUAGUUUUACAAGUAACUUACGCUACUUACAAUCAUCGGGGGGAAUUUUGUCCGGAAACCUUUUAUUUACAUUUUUUAGUGGUUGUCCUAGAGUUUGCACCACAGAGUUACAACUAAUCCAGGACUGCUUCCCGAUAACACUCUCACCUCACGGGCACCUCAUAAUCACAAAGUAAUUAGAUUCCUCCCUCUCCUCCCUUGUCCAUAGCAUGACUAUCAUUAAUUUUACUUCUGUAUAAGGACUUCUGUAUAAAAUCAUACCUUGUCAAAUACAUUGCUGCUGUUAUCUUAAACAGCCUUACCUGUUAGAUCAAUUAAGAACAAGAAAAAUCAAAGUUUAUGUUUUAGCUUUGUUGUUUCCUUCUUCAGUGGUCUUCCUUUUACAAUGAAGAUCUGAGUUUUUGACCUAUCAUUUUCCUUCUAUGUAAAGAACUUUUAGGGGCGCCUGGGUGGCUCAGUCGGUUGAGUGUCCUACUUCAGCUCAGGUCAUGAUCUCACGGUUCGUGAGUUCGAGCCCUGCAUCUGGCUCUGUGCUGACAGCUCAGAGCCUGGAACCUGCUUCGGAUUCUGUGUCUUGCUCUCUCUCUGCCCCUCCCCCACUCAUGUUUUUUUUUCUCUCUCUGUCUCUCUCUAUCUGUCUCUCUGUCUCUCUCUCUCAAAAAUGUUUAACAUCUUACAAGCCUGGUCUGUCUGCUGGAUACAAAUUUCCUCAAUUUUUGUCAAACUACGUUUUUAUUCUCCUUCACUUUUAUAGGAUAAUUUCACAGGGUACUGAAUUCUAGGUUGGUGGGUUUCUUUUUUCUAACACCUUAAUUUCAGUCCAGUGUUCUUGCUUGCAUGGUUCUGAGAUGAAAUUGGAUAUAAUUCUUACUCUGCUCUUCAGUAGAAAAGGUGUUUUUUUUCCCCCUCUGGCUUCUUUCAGGAUUUUUUUUUUUUAUCUUUGAUUUUCCAUAGUUUGAAAAAUCUGUCUACAUGUAUUGGUUUUUGUUUUGUUUUGUUUUGUUUUGUUUGCAUUUAUCCUGCUUAGUAUUCUCUGAGCUUUCUGGACUUGUGGGUUCAGUGGCUGGCAUGAAAUUUGGAGAAACUAUCGGUCAUUGUUUCAAAUAUUUUUCCUAUUCCUUUCUUUCUUUGUUUUCCUUCUGUUAUUCCCAUUAUGCAGAUGUUACAGUGUUUGUUGUCCCACAGUUCUUGGAUCUUCUGUCCUGGUUUGUUUGGGUUUUUUUUUUUAGUCUUUUUGUGAUUAGCUUUUUAGUUUUGGGGGUUUCUGUUGAGAUAUCCUCAGACCUGGAGACUCUGUCCUCAGCCAUGUUUAGUCUGCUAAUGAGCUCAUCAGAGCCAUUCUUCAUUUGUUAGUGUUUUUGUUCUCUAGCAUUUGUUUUGGUUCUUAGAAUUUCCACCUCUCUGCUUCCAUUGCCCCUCUGUUCUUGCAUGUGGGCCCCUUUAUCUACCAGCAUAUUAAUCACAGUUAUUUUAAAUUUCCAGUCUGGUACUUCUAACACCCCUACCAUAUCGAAGUCUGAUUUUAAUGCUUCCUCUGUCUUCAGACUGUGUUUUUUGUCUUUUAGUAUGUCUUGUAAUUUUUUCUUAAUAGGUGGGCAUAAUAUACUGGGUAAAAGGAAUUGCUGUGAAUAGACUUAGUGAUGUGGUGCGAAAGUAUGAGGGGAGAGGAAGUGUUCCUUAGUCCUGUGAUUAGAUCUCAGUCUUUUAGGGAGCCUGGACCUCUAGACUGUGAACUUCACAAAUGCUUUUCAGUUUCCUCUUCUCUCUCAAGGUGGGACAGGAUGGCUAGAGUAGGGUAGAGUUGGAUGUUUCUCUCCCCCCAGAAGUUUUAGCAGGAGCUAAAACUAACAAGAGUGUGGGAGAUCCCAGUGGCUGAAUCUGCUGGAGUUUUCUGCUUUCAGACACGUGUGCACUGAGGCUCUCCCAGUUUGCCAGUUACGGUUCAGGGCUCCCUACCCCGGCAGUGCUUCCCACCAAGCUUUCAGCUCCUGGUUUUCUGCUCUGGUAAAUUAGGACUCUCUGUCGGUCACUUCCAUCUGGGGGGGCAAUAGUAGUUUGCCCUGUGACCUCACUUCUAAUACAGAUCUAAGAAGAGUUGACUUCUCAGUUUGUUUAGCUUUUUACUUUUUGUUAGGAUGGAAUGGCAGCUUCCUAGCUUCUCCAUAAACUUUUUAUCUACAAAUGUUGCAGUGCAGCUGUGUGUAAUUGGGUUAUAAGAUGAUAAAAUUGUCUGAAUUUCCAUCUACAUCUCAGCUUUCAUCGUGUGGACACUAGUUUCAAAAUCUGCCACGUAAUAGAACAGUGGGUAGGAGGAACUUUCCAGGAAGUAGCCUGUAUAGAAAAUACACACACACACACACACACACACACACACACACACACACUCCCCAUCCCCACCAGGUGCAAAACACUGUUUCAGUGGGUUCCAAUAAAGAAACUACAUUGAAUAAGUUUUCCUAUACUGAUGCUGUUAUUGGUAGAGUAAUAUUAGAGCUUUCCAUAUCUCAAGACCUCUUCUUUACCACCAUAAGGCUAGCCCUUCCCUGUUUCAAAAUCUCUAGUGUAAUAGGAACGAUCAAGAAUGUAGAAUGGAGCUUCCGGUAUUUCUGAUUACAGACAGUAAGUCCAUGCCAUAAUUCUAAGCAUCCAACUUGAGGAAUGGGAACAAAACAUUGUAUUCUUAGGAUUCCCAACCACUCAUAACUUCACUGUUCUGUUGCCAACAUUAAUUAAGUGAUAAUUAAACUUAUUUUUCCUUUCUUUACUGAUUUUCCUUUCUGUACAAUUUAAGUGGGAUUCAUUCUGUGGUUAGCAGUGCGAGAUGUAGCUGUCUUUUAGCAACAACCGAAGUAGGAGUUUAGUCCUCAGCUCGUGUUGUCAAGCAUUCGUGUUUUUAUGUACCUAAAUGUUUGAUGUGCAAGGAACAGAAGUAGUAUAUUUAAUCAUAUUAUUCGUGUUUUGUUUACAGUAGAAUGAGAUUUAGGAACAAGUUUUUCAGUAGAAUAUUUUCUGGAAGGAACUUUGUGAGCAGAUCUCAAAAACUUUUUUAUCAAGUACUGAAAAUGAUUGUCAACCUGUAGCAACACUUCAGAAAGCCUAAUUGAGGUUUAGGCUUCCUGACUCAUAUUCAUAAAGACAUCUUAAAGCAUUUAAUAUUUUUAAUGGACUUAGAACAACCCUGGUAGAUGUUUUGUUUUCCUCUGACAUUUUCUUCUGUUUUUAAUACUGUUCUUUAUUACGUCCGGAUCAAAGGUUAUUAUGCAUGAAGUGGAUUUAUUUUGGAGUUUCUUUCCUGAAAUUUUGAGCUAAGUUGACAUGUUUUUUUUUUCUCUGUUUUUUGUUUGUAUGUUUGUUUUUUGGUUUGAGACAGAGAGAGUGUGAGCAGGGAGGGGCAGAGAGGGAAGGACACACAGAAUCGGAAGCAGGCUCCAGGCUCCAAGCUGUCAGUGCAGAGCCCGAUGCGGGGCUCGAACUCACAAACCAUGAGAUCAUGACCUGAGCUGAAGUCAGACACUUCAACCGACUGAGCCACCUAGGCGCCCCAAGUUGACAUGUUUUAAUUAAUUUUCACACAAUGUGAAGAAUUGCCAAAGAGGUAUUUUUCUUGGAAGCUUCGAGGAUUAAAUAGAGUAGAAACAUUUUACUUAAAAAUUAAUAUUUUUGGAGCACCUAGUGGCUCGGUUGAGUGUCCGACUCUUGAUUUUGGCUCAGGUCAUGACCCAGGGUCAUGGGAUCACGCGUUGUCUCAGGCUCCACACCUGCUUAGGAUUCUCUAUCUCUCUCUGCCCCUCUCCCCUGCUUGUGUAUGCACUCACUCUCUCUAAAAAAAAAAAAAAAAAAAAAAAAAAGUUAAUACAUUUAAUGUUAUUUUGUUUAGUGUAUUAAAAUUCCAGGAAGGUGAGAAUUACGGUAGAAAUGCAAGCCUGUUAUUCUGUCUUACAUGAUUAUUUAAAUUCUAUUAGCGUUUAUUUACUUAAUUUUAAAAUAAUGUUCAUACUAAUUUAGAUAACAUACUCUUAAUAUUUAUAUUGUCCGUUUCGUUGUUUAUUUAACUAUUUGAUAGUUCUUGUUUUAGAACAUGAAAUUAACAGUUCUUGUGAUAAUAAGUAUUUCAGGAUUUCAGUUUUGCAUUAAUACAUGUACCUUAACUUAUUAAAUGUUAACACAUGAUGCCCAAAAGGAAAUUCUUCCUGUUUCAGGUAAAAAUUUUUGCCUUUAUUUGAAAGUGAAUAUUCAAAUAAUACCACAAAUCCAAGUGUCAUGCCUUAUUUGUAUUACUGACAAUGUUAGACUGACUAUAAUGGGUAGUAAUCCACUAUGUUGAUUACUCAUAAGUUUUAUGAUACUGGAAAUAACGUGAAAGUAAGCAUUUAGUUGUUUGACUUACUUGAGACUGCAGCCAAACUUGGUAAAAAUUUGCCUUCAUAAAUUCAUAAUAUCUUUUAGAAGGAGAUAUUUUAAAAUAUUUGUAUAAUUUUUAUUCUUUUCUUGUCUUCCUCUUUGUAGCUUGCCCUCUUAUUAGAUUCUGUGGAUAUGUUUCUCGAGGCCUCAUUUCUUUAUUCUCCUUCACUUCUUGGCAGUCACUCGUUAUAAUGGCAAAAUACAGAAGCCCUAUUUUUGAGCAUGUAUUUCUUCCCUUACUAGUGAAUUUCAGCUUUUUUUCUUGUUCUGCUGUUUAAUUCUCUGCUUUGAAUUGUCUGUUUAUAUGUUCGUUCAUGUUUAUUUUGAGAUACUGGCUUUUCUGUUGUUAUUUUUUUUUAAGCUAUUACCUCAUUGUUUUCCUCUCUAUAGAUAUUGUUGUUACCUUUCUCCCAGAAGAAUGUGGGAAGAAUUUCAAAUUGAUUUGCAUUUUAUUCUAAACCCACUAAGGUUGGAAGUCGGAACUAGGAUUCUUCAGGGUCUAUACCCUCAAUGCAGCACCUGUUAAGAAGGUUUCAGAAGCAAACAUUAAAAGAAAAAAAAAAAAUCAUCAACAGAAGGAGUAAGCAAACACAGCUAAAAACAGGAUUAAGUUCUGCAGGAACUUCAAAUAAUACAGUUGUUGAAGUCAGAAUGUAAAGCGUUUGCGGCACCUGGCUAGCUCAGUCAGUAGAGCCUGUGACUCUUGAUCUUGGGGUUGUGAGUUUGAGCCCCAUGUUGGAUGUUGUGAAUCUUCCAUUAAAAAGUAAAAAAGGAAUAUCAAGUAUUUGAAAUGAUUAGUGUCUUAAAAAAGUAAUUAGAGAAAAGGAUAAACCUUUAAGAAAAUAACCAGGCAGAGUUUCAAAAGAAGCCAAUGGAAUAUAUUUUCUGGAUAUGAACAGUGUAUUUUCGAGGUGAAAAAAAUUCACCCAUUUACUUUUAUUUAUUAUUUAUUUAUUUAUUUUUUAAUCUUUAUUUAUUUUUGAGAGAGAGAUAGCAUGUGAGCAGGGAGGAGCAGAGAGAGAGAGAGAGAGAGAGAGAGAGAGAGAGGGAGGGAGGGAGACACAGAAUCCGAAGCAGGUUCCAGGCUCUGUGCUGACAGCUCAGAUGUGGGGCUCACACUUACGAACUGUGAGAUCACGACCUGAGCCCAAGUCGGACACUUAACCCAUUGAGCCACCCAGGCACCCCAGCACCCAUUUACUUUCAAAGGCUCAGUGAGUAAUAGCGUAAGCAUUCAUUAUAGAUGCAGCCGUGGAGAGAAUAGUGAACUGGAAAAUAGUGUUGAGAAAAUCACCUGGAAUGUAGCAGGGCCAGAGAUGUCAAAUGUGGUAGGAAUAAUACAAGAUGAUGAAGGAUGGUAGUAAGUCCAAUAUGUUCUAGUUGGAGUCCUGAAGAAUAAUUAGGGAGAUUUAAUAUUUGAAGGGUAAUAUUCCAGAAUUAUUUAUGAUGGACACAUUCUGAGGUUAGGGAAUAAAAGAAUGUUAUCUUCAAAUGCUGAGAGAAAAGAACCGUCAGUUCUGAAGAGAGCUUCUCCACCUCACAAGGUUAGCAGAAUGGAUUGCACGCAGAACAAGGGUACUGUUUCCAACUAUUUUGCUGGGAGUUACAAAAAAUUAAAACAAUUGCCUUUGUAAAAAGGAUGAAGGAUGCUGCAGCAAUUUCAGGAGCACAAUAGACAGAUGAGCUAUCACAGUAGGAGAUACGUGGAAGGCCAACAGUCAGUUAUAGAGAAGUGGCAUUAGAAGAAGCGCGUGCGAAAACAGUGGGAAAGAAGGAACAAAGUGGAAAUGAACAAAGUUCAAAAGGUUAGGCAAUGUGUGAUAUAUAUGGUAACAGGGAGAAGAUAUAUAAGAUAGCAUAAUUGAUAUCUUCAAAGAGGAAGGCAGAAAUUUUUAUUUAGAUUUACUGUUAAAGGCAUAAUACAAAGAAAUACAAAGUCUAUUCAAUAAAUAGACUGAAAGGACUUGUUAGGUCUCAUUUAAUAUCGUUGCCUGAGUGUUUAUCAUGGAAACCACAGUUGCAGUCUUAGAUUUUACCAGUAAAGCUAAGAAUCUCUUUGCGAUCCAGAUCAAAGGAUCAAGUUACCUCUGGAGGAUAAAAUUCAGGGUGUUCUCAAACGUCAAAAUUCAGAACCAAAAUAAUAAUAUUCAUAAUGCCCUCAAAUUGGACAGAAUUUUUUUGAGAGACAGAGAGUGUAAGCAGGGCGGGGGUGGGGGGCGGCGCAGAGAAAGAGGGAGAGCGAGAACCUCAAGCAGGUUCCACCCUCAGCACGGAACCCAACACGGGGCUAGAUCCCAGGAGCCUGAGAUCAUGUGACCUGGGCUGACCUGAAGAGUCGGAUGCUCAACCGACUGAGCUGCCCAGGUGCCCCCAAAUUUGCCUUUUAAACCAGUUUUGCAUAUACAGUUCUGUGGGCACCAACUAUAUUCACAUUGUUGUGAAACCAUCAUCACCAUCCACCUCCAGAAUGUUUUCAGUCUUCCCGCCACUGAAAUUCUGUACCCCACUGAACAGUGACUACCUUUCUCUGCGGCCCGUGGCAGCUGCCAUUCUGUUGUGUGUCUCUCUAAAUUUGACUACUCCAGGUACUUCCUGUCAGUAGAGUCCUAGAGUAUUGGUCUUUUUGUGGUUGGCUUGCUUCCUUUUAGUUUAAUGUCCUCGAGGUUCAUCCAUGUUGUAUGGCAUAUGUCAAACUCUCCUUCUGUUUUAAGUCUGAGUAAUAAGUAGUUGUAUGCGUAUGCCACAUUUUACCUGUCCUUCACCUGCCGGUGGACGUGGACGGAUGUGCAUCUUCCUGCUGGCUAUUUGUGAAUAACGCUGCUGUGGACAUCCGUGCGCAGAUAUCAGCACGAGUCCCUCACUUCACUUCUUUGGGGUAUUGGCAAGUUUAACAAUGAAAAUUAAAAUGACACAGGUUUUUUGGCACUAGAUAAGUUGCUUACAAGGUUUAUAUGGAAAAAUAAGCAGCAGUGACAUGGCUGAAAAGAGCAGUAACAUGUAGGAAUCUUUCUUACCAGGACAUGAAACCAGGUUGAAAUGUCCAGCACGUUGUGGUAGUGGUGCAUGGACAGACAGAAGAUCAGUGGCCCAGAAUGGAGUAUACAGCAACAGACGCGCCUGGGUGACUCAGUCGGUUAGGUGUCCGACUGGAUUUCAGCUCAGGUCAUGGUCCCAGGCUUGUGGGAUCUAGCCCCACAUCAGGCUCUGGGUGGACGUGGAGGCUGUUUAAGAUUUUCUCUGCCCCUCUCCCACUUACGCCCUGUGUCUCUCAAAAAGGAAAACAAAAGAAUUCAGUUCAUGAGAAGUGUAGCAUUUCAUGUCACAGAAUGAAGGACAAAAUGAUUCAGCAAAUUCCAUGGGAGCUAGGUGGCUCUCUAGGAGAUUUUACACAUCCAUAGACAUACAUGUAUUUUAAACGUCAUGAGGGUUUUCAUCUCUCUCACUGCUGUUUUUCCUUUGAGAAUAAAGAUGCCAUUGUUAUCCCCAUUUGAAAAAGAAACACGACGCUGCUUUGAUUCCACUUUAUCUUCUAACUCUGACCGCCUACUUCUCAGUUCCCUUGUUGUUCUUUACUUGACUUCACAUUUUUCUCUGCCCAUUCUCUUUUAUACCCGCUCCCGUCAGGUUUUUGCUCUCGCGCUUUCCAGAAAGUGCUGUUGCGUGGUUACCAGUGACCCCGUGGGGCCACGUCCAGUAGCUGGCUGCACGCUGUCAUUUCUCUUUGAUCCACCAGCAGCACUGGGGUGGCAGCCCUUGGGCCUCACGUCCGGGGUACCGCAUGUUCACUCACGCUAAGUUUUUUUUUUCCCCCUGUUGUUACCUUCUGGCCCCUUCGUCUUUGCUGGUUCUUCUUCAUCUGUUAAUGUGGCCGUGCCUCACCUGGUUAUGUCAGCCCGUCUCAGGGCUUUAAAUAUCUAUGUGCCGCCGUUCAGAUUUGAAACUUCCUGCUCAGACGCCUCUACUGGGGUGUUUAGAAAGCAUUUCAGUCCUAACAUGUCCCAGACUGAUCUCCUGACAUUUAUUUUCCAUCUUCCACCACAGUCUUUGUGAUUGAUCUUCUCGUCACGUACACUGUUUUACCCUGGUCCACGGUCGCUGUCAUCUCUUGUCAGGAUAACUGCUCUGGGUUGCUAACAAGACCCUGGUCACUUUAUGAAGCACGAGGAAGAAAGCAACUAGAGGGAGGGCAUGUUGGAAGAUUUAAAUGAAAUCUUGUCACCCUUCUGCCCUUCCUCCACCUCAAAACCUCCUAGUGCUUCCCCUUUCGGGCAGUAAAAGCUCAAGCCUUUGUAACAGCCUAAAACGUCUGCCUGAUCUUCCCCGCUGCACAUGUUGUGUUCCUGUCCCCAUUCAGUUGCUCAGGUCCUGCCACACCAGUGUUCUUGCUGUUCCCUUUCAUCACUUCCUCACUUGAGGUCUUUGCCAGUGAGGCCUCACCCAGUGUCACAGCCCCGUUUUUGGCAGACUCCUGGCUCUCUUGGUAGCCUUCAGUUUUUCCCAGAACGGUCACCGCCUUUUAGCAAAUAAUAUUUUGAAAAUCUGUGUUUUUCUUUAUUGUUUUCCUCUUCCAUUAAAAUAUAAGCUAUGUGAGAACAGGGAUUUUUGUCUUUAUUCUUUCACAAAUCUCCAACACUGAGUAUACACCCAAUAUAUAUUGUCCAAUGAAGAAUUAGGUCACAUACCUCUUCUACAGAAAACCUUCUAUUGGUGUUCCCUUCCCUCUCUUGGACUGACAGAAGUCUGCCCUUGCACCUCCUGCCUCAGGGCCUUUGCUCUUGCUGUUUCAUCUUUGGGGUAUUAUUCUUUUCUCAGGUAUGUAAGUCCCUCCUUAACUGCCCUUGGGUUUCUGGGGAAUUGUGAUCUUCUCAAUUGGGACUUUACUGUCACCCUAUUUUAAUGUUAUAAAUCAUUUCCAACCCUAGAGUUUCCUCCUCUUCCAUGCUCUGAUUUUCUGCAUAGCAUAUUUCACCCUCUGAAAUACUGUUUGACUUCUCUUUUUAUUGCCUCUCCCCUGCUCAUGCAUCAGAAUGAAAUAUCCAUGUUAAAAGGAAUUUUUUCCACUGGUGUUAUUCUUUGCACUUAAACGGUAGGUACUUAAUAACUAUUACCUGAAAAAAAUGAGUUCCUGAUUAAGCAAGAAUUCAAGAUUAUAAAGUAAAAUCAGUAGUGUUUUUGAAUAUCAUCAAUUUAGAAAAACUAACAAAAAAUUCAUUCAUGCAUGUAACAUUUUUUAUGAAAUAUUUAGAAAUAACCUUGACAGCAAGUGUUUAGGAUCUGUUUGAAUAAGAUUAUAAAUAUCCAGUAAUACUAAAAACUUUCACUAGAUAAAAUUGCUUUCUUAUUGUAGAGCUAAUGUUAGGGUUGAGAUACCUUUUUUCAUACACACACACACACACACACACACACACACACAUACACAUACACUUAAAGACAUUUAGAGUUUUUUUCAAACUUCAAAUGGAUCUCAGGGCCACCGCUAAGUAUACAUAUGCGAAAAUCAUGAGGAAACCUUAUGAAAAUCUCCUAAAAUUAGUGAUUUGGGAUAUACAAGUCUAUGAACUUAAAAACCCUUGGAUUUGUGCUCUAAAAGAUGGAAUUUUAUGGUAUGUGAUUAUAUCUCCAUAAUACUAUAAAAUAACCCAAGGAAAUUCUGCAGGAAUACAAAAAAGAAAAAGGAGUCUUUUCAAGUAUUAGAAGUUUUUAUAGAGUUAGAAUAUCAAUACAUUGUAUUGGUGGCUCGGGAAUAAGCGUAA
Panthera uncia (snow leopard) is the source of this 12262-nucleotide long non-coding RNA. RefSeq lists it as uncharacterized. The transcript has 2 exons. The record is from RefSeq and is a predicted model, not a curated record. Lineage: Eukaryota; Metazoa; Chordata; Mammalia; Carnivora; Felidae.